UACGAAGGGGGCUAGCGUUGCUCGGAAUCACUGGGCGUAAAGGGUGCGUAGGCGGGUCUUUAAGUCAGGGGUGAAAUCCUGGAGCUCAACUCCAGAACUGCCUUUGAUACUGAGGAUCUUGAGUUCGGGAGAGGUGAGUGGAACUGCGAGUGUAGAGGUGAAAUUCGUAGAUAUCGGGAGGAACACCGGUGGCGAAGGCGGCGACCUGGGUCGAUACUGACGCUGAGGUGCGAAAGCGUGGGGAGCAAACAGG
Molecule: ribosomal RNA, 253 nt
Filed under: uncultured bacterium
Lineage: Bacteria
Description: partial 16S ribosomal RNA
Rfam family: Bacterial small subunit ribosomal RNA
Source: RNAcentral